GCAUAAAUGAAACCCUCACAAUGGAGCUGUGUCAGAUAAUCUAGAAAAAGAAUAAUCCUGUUUACAGAAAAAAUACACAGAAGAACAUAAUCAGCAACAGCAGCAAACUAAAAACACAAGAUCUUUGUGAAGUGGUUUACGGGAGAUGGAUGGACCCUGAAGGUGUGUGGUGGUGGUUUGUUUUGUUUUUUUGGUUUUAAGAAAAGUUUGUAGUGUGGUAUCUUUUGCAAUUUGCAUGAGUUCACCAUACCUUGUCAGUUGAUGGCACUAUGACACCUGAAGACAUUUAGAAAGGAAAUAUAUAUAGACAACUUACAAAAACAAAAAAGAGCAUAUUUCUGUUUUGGUUUAUACAUAUGAAUGUAACUUAAUGGCCAGAUAUAACCUGUUAAAUACUACUGUGCUGAAACCAUAAAUAUAAAAUUACUUAACAUUUUCAUACCUGCUAUAUAUUUAUCCAACUUUAGUGGGGGGUUAGACAUUGUAUGUAGCUGUGAAAGACACACCGUGGGACCUUGUCUGAUCUUGCAGUCCUUCUGGAUGCAGACCAGUCAUUGACUGCAACAAAAGCUACCAUGCAUAUGUUGAGGACUGUAACAUCAAGCUUAUGUUGCUAGUGUAGUUUAGCUGCCAAGGAACAUUUAUGUUACAGAUUGUUACACUGAAUAAGUAUCAGAGGGGUAGCAUGUUAGUCUGUAUGCCACCGGACUCCUUGUUGUUUUUACAAUUAAUCACUUUCCUGGAUGAAACAAAGGCCAUCAUCAACCAAAAGUGAACAGAGCUUGCUUGGAUGGGGAACAUAAUCUUUACUGAGGCUAUGUCUACACUACGGACUGUACAGUAGCACAGCUGCACUGCUGUAAGGUCUCCUGUGUAGUCACUCUAUGCCGGAGGGGGAGAGCUCUCCAGCCGGCAUAAUUAAAACACCUCCAACAAGCAAUGGUAGAUAAGUCGGCGGGACAGCAUCUCCCACUGACACAGUGCUGUCCACACCAGCAUUUUUGGCAGUGAAACUUUUGUUAGUUGGGGUGUAGUUUUGCCGACAAAAGUGCUAGUGUAGACAUAGCCUGAGAGUUAGAUUGUGCAAGGGGCUGAGUGUGCUGGAGUCAAUGGGAUUACUUGCGCUUAAAGCUAAGUAUAGGCUUAAGAGCUUUCUUGGAUUAGGCCCAGAAUGCCUAGCAUCUUGCAGGAUCAAGGUCUAAAUUAAAAUCAAUGUAUUGUCUUAACCACGUAUUGCCUCUUGAGAAAAAGCCGUUUAUACAAGACAUCUAUUCUUAGGCUACAACGGUGGUAGUUAUUUCCAGCCCUGGAGAAAAACACCGUAUCUCCACACACAGCAGAAGUACACUUCAAAAAAACAAAUUCUAGUUCAACUUAGUCACCACAGCCAUGUUUUGUUUUCAAAAAAGUGAGAGGAGAUAAAAUAAGUGAAGGAAGUCACAACUUAAAUUAAAAAUUCUUAAAGCUCAGUGAUUAAGUGCUUGCCAUAAAAACCUACUGGACCCUCCUAGAUUCUACAUAUGAACAAUGUUCAAGUCAUUUGUAUAAAAUUACUGCAAGUCAUGGCUCAUUUAAACAGUUUUGUUUCCCACCCUCACCCCCAUAGCAGCCAUCAUGUUUUGUGCCUGUUAUAGAUACAUUUGUAUUUCUACUGGAGAACACUAGUUCAACUAUUUGGUUUAAGUGUAAAAACAUGGAGGGUAUUGAGGGGAAAAUAUGGCAUUGUUGCAAGUGUCAUAUGCUACGAAACUAGUAAAUAUUAUAUAAAAUACAUCUAUUAAUUCUGUUACUUCCUGGAACAUUCUACAAUGUUUAUAAUGUCCUUUUUAAAAGUUCUUAAAAUGGCUUAGGGCUUUUCUCCUUCACAAAUCUGGGUAUGAAAAGGAGCCUUAAAAAAGGUGAUAGUUAUCUGAAUGCAUGGUGAAAAUGAGGCAAUGUUGCAGAAUUUGUACUGGAUGGAAAAGAAUGUGGGACAUGAUGAAGCUGGUUUAAGGCCACUCCACCCAGAGCUAGCUGUGCACCUUGCUGUUGGCUGAUGCAGCUCAGCCUGUGUGGUGCUUCCUCCUGACCAAAUGCCAUUGUUAUGUCCCCAUUGUUAUUCUGGUUAUCACUCUGAGGGAACUGCCAGAAACCCAGUAUAUGAGUAAGAUCCAUGGAGGGCAUGCUAAUAGAUUCAACUGUUGUCACAGUCUCCUUGUGCAAUAUGUACUUGCCAGCAUCGCCUGCAGCCCCCGAGGAAGCUUCUUCCUGAUUGACUUUGUGAGGUUCUGGUAAAGGCAGGUCCUCAAGCAAAUUCACAUUAUGAGCUUUAACAUCCACUUCGAUGGGUAGGCUUUUGAGGGAUGGUGCAAAUGAGGUAGUACUCAGUUCAUAUUUGUUGUGCCGAUGAGGAUUCUGGUUGGUAGGAAUUGAUGGUGGAGAUGGUUUAGAAUGAGUGGCUGAGACACUAUCUACACAGCUCAUCCUUACCAAAUGAGGAGGCUCAAAGGGAUGAGUAGACUGUAGGCUUUGUUGACAGUGAAUAUGUGGGCUGCUAUACUCUUCUGCUUCUAACGUGUUCGGAAGCCCAUGCUGCAUAGAAGCCCUCUCAGGAAAAGAGGACAGGAUACUGGCAUCUUCCUUCAGUCUGAAUGGAGAGAAAGGGGCAAAGAGACCCUGCAAGUCACCAUUCUGCAACCUGCCCUUCAGCAGCUCUUGUGGAUGUGUUUUCUUCAUGUGGCGAGUCAAGUGGUCCUUGCGCCCAAAUCUCUGGGCACAGAACUGGCACAAGAAGUCCUUGCAGCCUGUGUGAACCACCAUGUGACGCCGCACAUCUUUGCGGGUAUAGAAAUAGUGUUCACAAUGGUCACACUUAUGUUUCUUUUCCUUGGUGCUGCUGCCUGGCUUCCCUGCAUGAGUUUUGAGGUGUUCUAACAACACUUCAGUGCCUCCAAACUCUUGGGAACACACCCUGCAGGUAAGGUCCCCACUGGUGGCUGCAUGAAGAGCCAGGUGUCGUUUGUAACCCAGCUUGGUGUUGUACUUCUUGUCACACUCUUCACACUUGAAGGCCAUUUUGUUGGGGUCAUGAGUCUGAAGGUGAUUUUUCAGAUGGUCUUUUCUGUGGAAGGUCUUUUCACAGUAACCACAUUGGUGAGAUUUUUGUGGAGAGUGGGUGGCCGAGUGCCUAAGACAGAAGAAUAACAUGUUUACAGAACUCAUGCACAUAAGUGGGAUACAGCUUCACAAUAUGAAGGCACUUGCGCUCUCUAGGGUAACAGUUUUCAAAAAGCCAGACUCUGUUAAAUAGCAAACUGGUGGGUUUUUUAUAGUCUGCAGAGCUAGAUGAACAUUACUGCAAGAAACACCUUUUGAAUGGCAAUUAUAAUUGUACUUGAGAGGCAGAGGCUAGCUAGUGCCUAAAACAGAGGACUGGGAGUUGGAAUACCUAUUGUCCUGCCACUGACUCGUUGGAAUACAAUGGAAAACUCAUUUAUCCUCCCUGUUCUCUCAUCUGUAAAAGGGGUAGAACACUUACUCUCAGAAGUGAGGUAUGAUGUAAUCAAUUUAAUGUUUGUGAAGUGCUCAAGUUCCUUAGAAGAAAGGAGCCAUAUAUAAGCCCACCUGACUUGGGGCUCAGGUGUAUGCACAUGCUAUCAGAAUGGAUACUUAGAUUCACUGCCAUCUGUUGCUUAUGUUUUAUUCACGCACCUUGAACAGCAUUUAUUUAAAUCUUAACAUUCUGUAUAGAAAUAUGACCAAUGGAGUUUAGCGAGUAGUUGUCACUAGUGCAUGCCAAGAAAAUACAUCUUUUCCUCCCCACACCCACACUGGGAAGGGCUGCUAUCCCUUCAGGAGAUGUACCUUAUCAGUUUGUAUUUGGAAAUGAAAGCUUUCGUGCAUCCCUGUUGGGAACACCUGUAGGGACGCUCUCCUGUGUGGGCAUAAGUGUGGGCUGUGAGCUUUUCAACAGAAACAAAUAUCUUCCCGCAGAGGCGGCAGCGAUAACUGUCUGGCUGCUUUGCUUCUCUUUCUUUUAGUAGUGAAGACUGACCAUUUCUCCAUGUAGGCACAAAUCUCACAAUGGAACCGCAAACACUUCCUGAGCUGGCACAGGUAGACUUUGCACUAGGGGAACAGGAAAUGGCCCCAUAGCACUGGACAAUGCUUGUGCCCAUGCCAGUUUCACUCAGUUUGCCUUUGGUUUUGCCCUUUGUUUUUAGAGGUUCUAAUUUAUUUGCUGGUCUGAAGCUGGUGAGAAGUGCUUUGUCUUUACUGAUGCAUUGGUGAGAUUCCAGCAGAGCUAAAGUCCCAAAAACGUUACUACAAUUGGAGCAUAUCCAGGCGUCGGCACACUCUCUCUGCAAUGAGAACAGAAACAGUUCCCUCAGAUUAACCAUUUCAAAGAGAGAGAGGUCACAUUCUUCUCACCAGCCCUAUGUUGUCUUUGGUCUUCCCUAGGCCUCUCACUUCCCUUGGUGACAGGCGCAGGCACAGCACGUAACUGUGCCACCCAGACUGCUCUUCAGUUGGAGACAUUAAUCUUAGCUGUGUACAAACAUGAAAACAAAUGAUUGGGUAAAUGAUUAUUUCCAUGUUGUUGUCUGGUGUUUAUUGCUAUUCUAGCUCUUGUUGAGCUUUUGGUGAUUUUUUUUUUUUUUCCCCUCUGCAUAGUAAAUUUCAGUGUCUCUGUGCUUGUUCUUAUUAUGGAAGCGAUAGUCACAGUUCCAUAGUUAAGACUGAGUCAAGUUUUCCACUUACUUUUAGACUGAGCGCAAACUGUGAUACCGCAGCUGUACAGAAGCCAUGGGCCUGUGGGAUUAUUCUGCCAACAAUGCAGGGUGUCUGUCUGUCUCUCUCUCUCUCGCUCUCUCUCUCCAUAGAGACAUGGAGAAAGAAGAAAAUAAUGAGAUGUAAUAGCUUUUGCGCUUUAACACUGGGGGGGGAGAAGGAAGGGGCGGGCGCUGUAACAUGCAGCACAUGUAUGCCAAAGAAUUAGGACAUAACAAGCUAGAGCAGUGAACGGGUGAAAGGAGAAUUUUAAGGAUUGGUGUACUCAGUUUCCCAAGAAUAUAUGCCAGCAUGUUAGUCUUUCCAGAGUUUACCAUUACAUGCCAACACUGUAUCGUGCCCUGUUUAGAGUACAAGUACAGUACACAAAGUAAAAGAGCUCCAGGUAAUACUUUUCUUUUGCUAUUUGACUGAAACUGUUAAUUCAGUGUUAGACUAGUUGACAAUCAUUUUCUGUCAUGUGAACUGAGGCAAGGCCAGGUGUUGGCUUGGAUGCAGUCCUUGGACACUUACUGUUGUUAAAACUGGUGAUAAAGCACAGAUAUCAGAUUCUUCUUUGAUGACAACUGCAGAAGCUUCCAUAAACUUGGCGUAAUCUGCAGCAUACCACACUUUUAAUUCUGUGUGGGGUUCAAUUGGCUGUGAAUGGAAAAAAAUCCCCAGUAUUUACUUGUACUGCCUUUGUUUCUAUAGGAAACUUUUACAUCUUAUUUAAAACAGGUGGUAGUCUAGUUGUUACCUUUACAGCAACUGUUUUCUUCAUAUCUGUUUAAACCAUUGAUAGCUUACGUGAUGCUGUAUGGAAUAUUGAUACCAAUAUUAUAAAAUUGCAGUGAAUCUUACAAGAUGUGCCAUGUAAGGUAUCAGUGGAAAAGUUCUGAUUUGCUAAGUAUGAUGGCCUUGUUCAUAUGUAUGUAUCAUCUUUGAAUCGUGAGUUAUAAAUAUGUAUGAUAUAUCUGCAUCUCCAACCUGUGCUGUUUCUGGAUGCCAUUGCUGAGGCCAAUUUGUCUGCGACUAUCUAGCCUGUUGGAUGGCCAAUCAAGGCCAAUCAGCUCUACAAUGAACCCAUUGAGUGAAGGCAGGAGCUAUGCCUAUGAGUCAGCAAGACACGUGGGGACAUGCCUGUGAACAGGGGAUUACAAGAGCUCUUUCUUGCCCGUGAGCUUGGGUUUGGGACAGAAGAUGUACAGGCCACACGGCAAAGGAUACUGAAAAGCAGCUGCAUCUUCUCCAUUUUGUCUUCAAUCCUGCUUCUCACCUCUGGAGUAACUUCUCUACGAAUUGAAGCUUUGAACAAAGGACUGAUAGACCCAUCCAAGCUGUGGAUGUGUUCCAGAGGGACUCCACAAGCCAGCAAACUCACCAGUGCUGCUAAGAACCUGAUAUAUGGACUCUGAAAUCUUAUGUAUGUAUAUAAUUGCUUUCACCAUUUAAUGACUCUCCUCUCAUUCUUUUCUAAUAAACCUUUGGUUUUAGAUACAAAA
Long non-coding RNA from Chrysemys picta bellii (western painted turtle), 6254 nucleotides. RefSeq lists it as uncharacterized. Lineage: Eukaryota; Metazoa; Chordata; Testudines; Emydidae. The record is from RefSeq and is a predicted model, not a curated record.